This 492-nucleotide ribosomal RNA is filed under the name uncultured bacterium. RNAcentral describes it as "partial 16S ribosomal RNA". It matches the Rfam family "Bacterial small subunit ribosomal RNA", at positions 29 to 507 of the family's 1533-position model. The record is from RNAcentral.
AGUGAACGCUGGCGGUAGGCCUAACACAUGCAAGUCGAACGGCAGCACAGUAAGAGCUUGCUCUUACGGGUGGCGAGUGGCGGACGGGUGAGGAAUACAUCGGAAUCUACUUUUUCGUGGGGGAUAACGUAGGGAAACUUACGCUAAUACCGCAUACGACCUACGGGUGAAAGCAGGGGAUCUUCGGACCUUGCGCGAUAGAAUGAGCCGAUGUCGGAUUAGCUAGUUGGCGGGGUAAAGGCCCACCAAGGCGACGAUCCGUAGCUGGUCUGAGAGGAUGAUCAGCCACACUGGAACUGAGACACGGCCCAGACUCCUACGGGAGGCAGCAGUGGGGAAUAUUGGACAAUGGGCGCAAGCCUGAUCCAGCCAUACCGCGUGGGUGAAGAAGGCCUUCGGGUUGUAAAGCCCUUUUGUUGGGAAAGAAAAGCAGCAGGUUAAUACCCCGCUGUUCUGACGGUACCCAAAGAAUAAGCACCGGCUAACUUCGUG